RNAcentral lists this ribosomal RNA (446 nucleotides) under uncultured beta proteobacterium. RNAcentral describes it as "bacterial SSU rRNA". It matches the Rfam family "Bacterial small subunit ribosomal RNA", at positions 28 to 474 of the family's 1533-position model. The record is from RNAcentral. Lineage: Bacteria; Pseudomonadati; Pseudomonadota; Betaproteobacteria.
AUUGAACGCUGGCGGCAUGCUUUACACAUGCAAGUCGAGCGGCAGCGCGGGGGCAACCCUGGCGGCGAGCGGCGGACGGGUGAGUAAUGCAUCGGAACGUAUCCCGUAGUGGGGGACAACCCAGCGAAAGCUGGGCUAAUACCGCAUAUGCUCUACGGAGGAAAGUGGGGGACCUGCAAGGGCCUCACGCUAUGGGAGCGGCCGAUGUCCGAUCAGCUAGUUGGUGGGGUAAAGGCUUACCAAGGCGACGAUCGGUAGCUGGUCUGAGAGGAUGAUCAGCCACACUGGGACUGAGACACGGCCCAGACUCCUACGGGAGGCAGCAGUGGGGAAUUUUGGACAAUGGGGGCAACCCUGAUCCAGCCAUGCCGCGUGCGGGAAGAAGGCCUUCGGGUUGUAAACCGCUUUUGGUCGGGAAGAAAGGGUUCUCUCUAAUACGGAGGACU